UACGGGAGGCAGCAGUGGGGAAUAUUGCACAAUGGGCGCAAGCCUGAUGCAGCCAUGCCGCGUGUAUGAAGAAGGCCUUCGGGUUGUAAAGUACUUUCAGUCGUGAGGAAGGUGUUAAGGUUAAUAACCUUAGCAAUUGACGUUAGCGACAGAAGAAGCACCGGCUAACUCCGUGCCAGCAGCCGCGGUAAUACGGAGGGUGCGAGCGUUAAUCGGAAUUACUGGGCGUAAAGGGCACGCAGGCGGUUAAUUAAGUUGGAUGUGAAAUCCCCGGGCUUAACCUGGGAAUGGCAUUCAAGACUGGUUAGCUAGAGUCUUGUAGAGGGGGUAGAAUUCCAUGUGUAGCGGUGAAAUGCGUAGAGAUGUGGAGGAAUACCGGUGGCGAAGGCGGCCCCUGGGACAAAGACUGACGCUCAUGUGCGAAAGCGUGGGGAGCAAACAGGAUUUAGAUACC
Molecule: ribosomal RNA, 454 nt
Filed under: uncultured bacterium
Lineage: Bacteria
Description: bacterial SSU rRNA
Rfam family: Bacterial small subunit ribosomal RNA
Source: RNAcentral